This is a long non-coding RNA of Homarus americanus (American lobster), 5997 nucleotides long. RefSeq lists it as uncharacterized. NCBI's taxonomy places the organism in Eukaryota, Metazoa, Arthropoda, Malacostraca, Decapoda, Nephropidae. The record is from RefSeq and is a predicted model, not a curated record. The transcript is spliced from 2 exons.
GUUGCUGGCAUAGAAAUUACUAUCGUCUGCAAAUAAGUUGUAUUUUAUGAGUGUGCUGGCGUGGACUAUGUCGAUUAUGUACAACAAAAACAGUUCUGGACCGAGAAUGGUGAGGAAAGGUCUCUGUAGGAUUCCUCCUUUGUUGUUGAUAGUCUUGUCUAGGGCUAUUUUAAAGCACAGUACUGUCUGUUCCUGCUGAUUGGUUUACUAGUCUCUGUGUGAAGAAACAUUUCGUUGUCAUUCUGCAUGAUAAUUUUGUAAGCUUAGAGUCAUGCUCCAUUGUAUUGGUGCGUGAAAUCUAAAAAGAAUGGCCGGGAUUCAUGUUUUCCAUCCCUUUUAAAAUUUUGAAUGUGUAUGAGUUGUGCCUUAUUGUGUCUUGUCUGAAGGGUUGUUAGUCCUCAGGCCCUCAGUUUAUUUGGAUAACCGAGAUGACAUAGUUCAGGAAUUAUUUUAGUCACCAUGUUGCACCUUUUCUAAUGAUGUUGGGUCUUUUUGAAGGUAGUGUUUACAUGCCCUGUAUUCAGUAAUCCAGACUGGGACAUACUUGAGAUCUGUACAGUUAAAGGAGCAUUUUCAUAUCUUUGUAUUUGAAGGCUAUGCUUUAUAAUUCCCAAAUCUUGAUUUUUUUUUUUUUGUCACUAUUGCCUCCACUUGUUCUGCCUCCAUCAGUGACUGAUCUAUGACAACACCAAUAUCUUUCUCCUUAUCGACAGUAUCCAGGAAAGUGUUACUAACAGAAUGGUGGUGAUUUAGGUUGUUGCAUCCUACAUGCAGAGUCUUGCAUUUUGUGUUGUUAAAGGUCUUUUGCUAGUCUAAAGACCAUUUGAACAGCUUGUGCAGAUCUUUUUGCAUGGUUGCUACAUCGUCUUGUCUUGCAAUCUUCCCAAAUAUCUUCAUGUCAUCCACAAACCUAACAAUAUGUCUUGAUAUAAUUUCAUCUGUCAUUUAUGUAGAUCUCAACAGGUUGGAUUCAAGAAUAAAACUUUGUGCUAUACUACUGAGAAAUGUUUUCCAUUCUGAAUGUACCCCAUUUGUGACCACCCUUUGUGUCUUGUCAUUGAACCUGUUGUUAAUGCACUUCAAAAUUUGGCCUAUGAUUCUAUGUGGCUGGAUUUUAGAGACUACCUGUGAAUGUGGGACUUUGUCAAGUGCCCUAGAUAAGUCCACGUAUUACGCCUGAGAUCAAAGGUUUGCUUGACCCCAAAUAAGAUAAAACAGCACACUUGCAUCAGAAAACAGUCAGGAUAAGUCAGUUCAGAGACUCCGUUUCACCACGGGUAUCAAAAUUUUGACAGUGACUGUACUACUCAUCCACGGUAGACCUUGGUCCAUGUAAUGUGUUACCAUUUCUAGGAAAUUGAAUAAGUGUGUCAAACAGGAUAUUCUCUAUGGAACCGUGUGAUACAUUGAUCAGACUACUCGGUCAGGUGUUGGAAGAUUGUGUCCUUCAGAAUUUUCUCAAGAAUUUGUGUAUAUAGUGAGUUGACAUAAAGCAAGGGUCAGGUGGUUGUUGGCCAGAGUUAGUUUUUCCCUGAUGUGGACUUUGUCCACCAUUGCUACCUAUGUUGUCAAGAGUAUAUCCAGAAUGUUUUUUCUCUAGUAGGUUCCUUCAUGUGUUGUGUCUUGAAGGUCAAGGUAUGCUCCUCAGCUUGUAUGGUAAGAGUCACCCAGUCUACUGUCUGUUCUGGAUGACAUUGGAGUCUGCCACUUCUCCCUGUGAGGUUGAGUCAGCCUUAUAACACACACCUACUGUCACCUUGCUUUUUGUUCUCUGCUAUUAGUUCACACCAAAAGUAAAUUUGGACGAUUUAGUUUCAUUCGCUCAUCAUUACUGGUUAUUGUCAGGUGCUCCAUGACACAGUAGUACACCACCACCUGUCCUUUCUGGAUGGUGAGUGAUAACCUGGUAAACACAUCUUCUCAACCCCAGGAUGUCUGCCUGUUCUGUAUCCACCUAUGCAUUUAAGUCCAGUCUUAUUAACUAGACUUGUGUCAUUCUUGUUUCAUUCAGGAUUUUGUUCUCUCGGGGUUACUAGUAUUACUUAAAGCUACACUUGUGAUGUGCAACUCCUAUACAGUAUGAAGUCCCAUAUUUCUCACUGUCUCUCCUUCCCUCCUCCACCUCAGGUUCUUUAUAAUGCGAUUGUCAUUGUGUUUGUUUAUUUGCAAUUGUUCUCGUGACAUGUUAUGUUAGUCAGCCCCAGGUGCCACGUUAUCACUGUGUAACUAUUUCUUGUAAGUUAUUUAAUACUUCCUGCACUGAUUGUUGGAGUUGUCUCAUUUAUUGCUUUAGUUUACUGUAUCUUGUUCUUUAUCCUCUACACUAGUAAUACAGGUACACCACCAAUUUUCCGGCACCUUUGGUUCCUGAGCCUUUCCGGACCAUCCGUUUUGCCGGAUUAACAGAGGUCAUAUAUAAUAAUUAAGCAAUACACCUUUGAACCACUUGGUAUACACCCCUUCCCCCCGGUAUUUUUAAAGCACCAUGGCUGCUAGAAACUCAUCACUCUAUCAUGUUCAGUACUCUUACUGUCUUUCAAUGUUUUUCUAAUGCACACUUGCUUCUUGGAAUCACUUUCUGCAUAGAAUCUCGUUACUUUUUCUCUUUGCUUCUUUAUAUCACACACAGUUGACGAACCAAUACCAUACUGAUCACACACCCGUCACACCGAAACGCUACGGUCGAGUUUUCUCAAGAGUUCCACCUUAUCUUGUAUCGAUGUGGACUGGUGUUUACUCUUUACACCACCACUGACACUUGUACUUGCCUUUGAAGCCAUAGCUGGGGUUAAAUAUGUCCAAAACAAGCUGAGAAUUACACAAAAUCAAGAAGCUACCACCAGCAACUGCAGAAUAAACAAAGCGAGCGCGGUUAACACGUAAUGCCAUCUGUGGGCAGCCCAGUAAACUAAUCUGGAGGUCAAGGGAAUUUUGUCCUGGUUAAAAGAGGUGCCGGACCAUCCGUUGCCGGAAAAUCGGUGGAGUACCUGUAAUUAAGUCCCUAACUUGGUCUUUUUGUGUUUGUAUAUAGUGUCAAAGUAUUUAUGUUUAGAGUACACCCACCUCUCGCUUUACGCGGGGGUCACGUUCUUGAAAACCACCGCUUAAUUAAAAACUUCUUAAAUUAAACAUAAAUUUCCCAUAAGCAUACAUGUAAAUGGCACAGGUUAAGGGAACCAUCAUAUACCACACAGGGUACGAACAGUGCUCUCACUUAAACCAAGCAUGCUGCCAACACACACAUACUCCUCUCUGAAGGCCGGUGAUCACAUUUAAUUUCACGUCCAUUGUGAUUGUUUUUCGUGCCUUUUUAGCUUUAGGCGUCCCAGAGGCAGAUGGGUGUUUUACAGACAUGGUCAAUGGGGGAAACGGCAUUUAACACUAAAAAGGUACGUGAUAAACACAAUGCAAAUUGGAGCACAGAGAAGUAAUAGUGCUGGUGUGAACUGAGAAAGUGAUACCCGGGAAGCUUGCUGGACGUGGUCAAAGUUUUUGUACAGAAUACUUCAUUAUCUUCACCAUUAGAAGUAAUUAUCUUUAUUAUUACAUUAUUAUAAUUAUUAUUAUUAAUAAUAUAAAAUUGUUGAUGUUGAUAUGACUGCAACUUUAUAGUCAUAACUUACAAGUACCUCACCAGGCAUCACACGCGACUCCACUGCCAGACGACCAGGUGAAUACACGAUGCAAAUUUAAACUGUCUUGAGCGCGUUAUUUAAAAAAUAGGUGCGUUUAAAUUAGCUUUUGGUAUUAACUGAACAAUCGCGUUGUUCCAAAAACGCUUAAAUCAAACGCACGUAAAACGAGUUACCUGUAUAUAAAGUAAAAGAAUAAAAUCAUUUUAACACCUGUGCUGAACUGAUAUUCCAGCUCAGGAGUGCCACAAGAAACGUGAAGAUUAGUUAUUACAGAAAAAAAAAAAAAUUUAACCCAAAGUUGAUUGUAAAUACAUAAUGCCGCUCAGUCUCAUAUUUUCUCUCUUAAUUAUAUUAAUAACUUUAAGCUUUGCAUAAAUCAUUGUUUAUCAAUUUUGAUACCUUACAAAUACUACUUUCUUUUUUACUUUUUCUACUUGUGUGUUUCACUUCAAUUAAUUUAACUUUUGUUUUGUUUUUAAGUAGUUUUGAAGAAAGCUACUUUAUACAAAUUUUAAUUUGUACAAAGCAACAGUGUAGUACUGUACUUUAUUUUAAGUAAUACUUCCAGGUACUUUCUCCAUCACUGUUUAAAGUGGAUCUGAAUUGAGCUGGACCUGAUGUGAACUAGACUAAAGUGGGCUGGACGUGCAAGUGAAGGAGAUCUGAAGUUAACUGGACCUAAAGGACUAGAUAGUAAUUAAUUACUAUUUUCUGGUACUUUGAAUAUUAGGAUGGUUCUACAGGCAUUCCCCAGUUUAUAAGAGAGUUCUGUUCCUGAAAAACCUUUAGUAAAUCAGAUAAAUUUUCCCAUAGACUUCCAUUAUAAAAGCCGAGAUACUUUUCUAUAAUGAAAAUACUAACCCAAAAUGUCUUAACCCUUAAGCCCUGGGUGACGUUCCAGAACGUCUGCCUAUUUUCCCAUGACACAGUAGUGAGAGUUAACACUGUGGUGUUAAUAACUUUACUACAGUGAGGAUAUUACUUCAAUAAUUAUGUAAGAGAUAAAAUCACAAAGUAACUUCAUGAAAUUACCGUUUACUGUAUCUUAAAGUAUAGUUCAAGUCUUAAUGAUCAAAUUUUUAUGUAAAAAAUUGGGGUCAAACUAUACAUGCAUAAUAUUUUUGAGGGGUUACAAUUUAUGCAUUUCCAUGGGUCAUUUACAGUGAAUGAUAGUACCUGGUGCAGUACGCGCUUAUGGUAGGUUAACCUUACCAGUAAGCUCCUUUAUCCUGGGCUUGCCUACCUACCCCAAGAUCCUAUGUGGCUACAGGAAGAGCAGAACCUUUCACUAUACAGUAUAUGCUGGUUUAAAUAUACAAAUGCCUGAUAGAAUUGGUUUAGAUAUUUUUCUUUGCAUCUGUUUAAAUUACUGGGAGAUUAUCAACUUUCCCCACCUGUGAGCUGUAUGCUAUGUUAUGGUCAGAGUGAGGGAAGAUUGGACUAAAGUUAAUUGAGAGGGAAGACUGCUGGAGACAUAAUUGAAGAGUAUUACAGUGAGGGUGGGAAGGCUGGUGAUAUGAAUUAAAACUAUUCUCAAGUAAUGUAUAUGUGGGAGAAACUUGACUAGAACAUAAGACUUUACUGUACUGUAGCAGAAGAAGAGUGAGGAAACACCUUAGGAUAGACUGAAGUUUUAUACAAGCAAAGGAAGGAUAUGUGCCACUUAAUCUGCACUGGAUUAUUUUUUUAAUUUCUUCCACAUCCUAGGUUUAGGUUUCACUUCUUCAGAACUCAACCAUAAAGAGAGUCACCUAUCAACUGGAAUCAACUGAAUCUGACCAUCUUUCCCCGACCUUUAGGACGGGGUUGGAAGGAGGCAUAAGGUCGAGCAUGACAACCAUUACUGGUGUUGGCUGGGCAGAAGCCGUCACUUGUGCACCAAGAUGUCUUCACGUUUUAGCUCUCUGGUCUGUAGUCUCAAAUGUAAAGUAUGUUGAAUAUUUCUCCUAAGUUAAGAUGCAAGGUUGUAUCUGAUUGUGUGAUUCAAGGUGAUGGAAUCUCAAAGGUAUGUUGAAUAUUUCUUAUAAAUUAAGAUGUAAAAAUGUAUCUGAUUGGUGACAUAAGAUACAACAUUGGUCAAGGAUGAGUUGUCCUAAUUUAUUUAGUAUGGAUCAGGAAGCUGAUUCUAGGACUGUAGUUAGCCUGAUUAAAACUCGGGCCUUCGUUGAUGAGCAGCAGCAAUUUGACAGUAAUUACAUAAGAUCAUCGGAAUCGUCUUAGUGAUGUGCAAACCGAUAAAGGAUUUUUUAAUGCUAGAUGCGAUUGUAUUUUUUAAAACUCAAUCUCCACUGAGUUGGAGGUACAGCCCAGGUCAAGAGGCCUACAACCACAAAAUCUUUGUCAUAAGACAAUUUUUUUUUUU